GAUGAACGCUGGCGGUCUGCUUAACACAUGCAAGUCGAACGGGUGUAGCAAUACAUUAGUGGCGGACGGGUGAGUAACGCGUGAGAAUCUGCCUUCAGGACUGGGACAACAGUGGGAAACCGCUGCUAACCCCGGAUGUACCGAAAGGGCAAAUAUUUAUAGCCUGAAGAUGAGCUCGCGUCUGAUUAGCUAGUUGGUGGGGUAAAAGCCUACCAAGGCAUCGAUCAGUAGCUGGUCUGAGAGGACGAUCAGCCACACUGGGACUGAGACACGGCCCAGACUCCUACGGGAGGCAGCAGUGGGGAAUUUUCCGCAAUGGGCGAAAGCCUGACGGAGCAAGACCGCGUGAGGGAGGAAGGCUCUUGGGUUGUAAACCUCUUUUCUCUGGGAAGAACAAAAUGACGGUACCAGAGGAAUCAGCAUCGGCUAACUCCGUG
RNAcentral lists this ribosomal RNA (437 nucleotides) under uncultured organism. RNAcentral's name for it is "bacterial SSU rRNA". It matches the Rfam family "Bacterial small subunit ribosomal RNA", at positions 28 to 507 of the family's 1533-position model. The record is from RNAcentral.